UACGGAGGGCGCAAGCGUUGUUCGGAAUCACUGGGCGUAAAGCGCGUGUAGGCGGCCCUGCAAGUCGGGUGUGAAAUCCCGAGGCUCAACCUCGGAACUGGACUCGAAACUGCUUGGCUCGAGUCCCGGAGAGGGUGGCGGAAUUCCCGGUGUAGGGGUGAAAUCCGUAGAUAUCGGAAGGAACACCAGUGGCGAAGGCGGCCACCUGGACGGUGACUGACGCUGAGACGCGAAAGCGUGGGGAGCAAACAGG
Molecule: ribosomal RNA, 253 nt
Filed under: uncultured bacterium
Lineage: Bacteria
Description: partial 16S ribosomal RNA
Rfam family: Bacterial small subunit ribosomal RNA
Source: RNAcentral